RNAcentral lists this transfer RNA (73 nucleotides) under Tursiops truncatus (common bottlenose dolphin). Its description in RNAcentral is "tRNA-Und (NNN) (tRNA-Und-NNN-8-1)". It matches the Rfam family "tRNA". Rfam says of the family: Transfer RNA (tRNA) molecules are approximately 80 nucleotides in length. RNAcentral also lists the same sequence under 3 other names. Lineage: Eukaryota; Metazoa; Chordata; Mammalia; Artiodactyla; Delphinidae. The record is from Rfam by way of RNAcentral.
UCCCUGGUGGUCCAGUGGCUAAGACUCUGAGCUCCCAAUACUGGGGGCCCAGGUUCGAACCCUGGUCAGGGAA